This is a non-coding RNA of Salmo salar (Atlantic salmon), 54 nucleotides long. The record is from Rfam. Lineage: Eukaryota; Metazoa; Chordata; Actinopteri; Salmoniformes; Salmonidae.
UGUAUGCACUACUGUAAGUCACUCUGGAUAAGAGCGUCUGCUAAAUGACUAAAA